This 774-nucleotide long non-coding RNA is filed under the name Daucus carota (carrot). Its description in RNAcentral is "long non-coding RNA (DCAR_LNC000040)". The record is from RNAcentral. Lineage: Eukaryota; Viridiplantae; Streptophyta; Magnoliopsida; Apiales; Apiaceae.
UGCUUGUUCUUCCUUUAUCGUUGCUCUUCCCGUUCCCUGCUGGCUUAAGUGCCUUACUCAGUAAAGGUCCUAGGAGAGCAUCACUUGCUCGUGUCUAUGCUUUGUGGAAUGCUACUUCUCUGUCAAACAUUGUAAGGUUACACAAUACUGAGUUGACUUGCUCAAUGUUAGCUUCAAACACUUGAUAAAUGAUACUACUAGAGUGUUGACAUUUGAUUUUUUUGUGUUGGAAGUAAUUGAAAAUUCAACUAGAGGCUUACAAAAUCAUAUUCUGCUGCAGUGAACUUGAAAAGAAAUUUUGUAGCUCCUCGAUGAUUGUAUGAACACGUCAAAUGACUACUUUUUGAUCAAAUAUUAUUUGUGCAUGGCAGGUAGUGGCUUUUGUUUGCGGCCUAAUUCAAUAUGGAAUUUCCUCAUCGCAACCACCCGAGGAGGCAGACAUGUGGAAUUCUAUGAGGUGAGACUAUUGAUUUUUGCACUGCAUACUGAGAGAGUUAAUAGAUUGCGCCAACAUUUACGCUCAAGUCGUAAACUUGUCCAAAAGAAUAUAGCGAUGUACAAUUUAGCGUUUCCUAGUUUAGUUUUGGCCUCUUUUAGAUGUUGAAUAUGCAUCUUAAAUUAUUUACUUUAAUUGUUUAUUAUACAAACAGUGGGGAAGAUGAGAAAUGGUGGCUAUUACCUGCAACUCUCAUGCUAUUUAAGUUGAUCCAAGCUCGACUCACCGACUGGCACAUAGCGAACCUAGAAGUACAAGAUUUUUCCCUCUACUGUCCG